Molecule: long non-coding RNA, 290 nt
Filed under: Elaeis guineensis (African oil palm)
Lineage: Eukaryota; Viridiplantae; Streptophyta; Magnoliopsida; Arecales; Arecaceae
Description: long non-coding RNA (EGUI_LNC077444)
Source: RNAcentral
GCUUCUCUCUGGCUACUUCUUGAUGCAAUCUGGAUGGAAUGCAUGUUUGCAUGGCAUCCAUCCUAUUGAUGUUUCUAUUUCAUCUAAGCACACCAUACAUGUCUCGCCAAAUGUUUUACCAUCCAUCUCCUCUACUUUGAUAUAUCACUCAAUGGCUGCCUUUAUCAACCCCUUGUUAACAGCAUCAAUUGAAUUAUUCCUUUGAAACCAAUCAAUUUCUUCAUAAUCAUAAUAAUAUGCCGUGUUUGUCCGAACAUAAGCUUUAGCCACCAUCCAAAGUGUAGAGUGCU